AUUGAACGCUGGCGGCAGGCCUAACACAUGCAAGUCGAACGGUAACAGGAAGCAGCUUGCUGCUUUUCUGACGAGUGGCGGACGGGUGAGUCAUGUCUGGGCAACUGCCUGAUGGAGGGGGAUAACUACUGGAAACGGUAGCUACUACCGCUUACCGUCGCAAGAACAAAGAGGGGGACCUUCGGGCCUCUUGCCAUCGGAUGUGCCCAGAUGGGAUUAGCUAGUAGGUGGGGUAACGGCUCACCUAGGCGACGAUCCCUAGCUGGUCUGAGAGGAUGACCAGCCACACUGGAACUGAGACACGGUCCAGACUCCUACGGGAGGCAGCAGUGGGGAAUAGUGCAGAAUGGGCGCAAGCCUGAUGCAGCCAUGCCGCGUGUAUGAAGAAGGCCUUCGGGUUGUAAAGUACUUUCAGCGGGGAGGAAGGGAGUAAAGUUAAUACCUUUGCUCAUUGACGUUACCCGCAGAAGAAGCACCGGCUAACUCCGUG
Molecule: ribosomal RNA, 490 nt
Filed under: uncultured bacterium
Lineage: Bacteria
Description: partial 16S ribosomal RNA
Rfam family: Bacterial small subunit ribosomal RNA
Source: RNAcentral